RNAcentral lists this small nuclear RNA (294 nucleotides) under Erinaceus europaeus (western European hedgehog). RNAcentral describes it as "7SK RNA". It matches the Rfam family "7SK RNA". Rfam says of the family: 7SK was discovered as an abundant small nuclear RNA in the mid-70s but a possible function has only recently been suggested. Two independent studies have found that 7SK RNA binds the CDK9/cyclin T complex (known as elongation factor P-TEFb). The record is from Rfam by way of RNAcentral. Lineage: Eukaryota; Metazoa; Chordata; Mammalia; Eulipotyphla; Erinaceidae.
GGAUGUGAGAGUGAUCUGGCUGUGACAUCUGUCACCUCAUUGAUUGUCAGGACUGAUCUCACUGAUCUAACUGACUACAUGGGUGUCCUUCCUCCCACUGAGUUCCCUAUGAAUCUCUCCCAAAGUGGAGGAAUUGUGCAUUGGAUGGAAAAGAAUGGAUUUUCUUGAAUAGCGAUGAACUGAUCUUAAGGUACGUAAGUGACAAUACUACCCUGAAAGAGCCAGAAAAAAAAAAAAAUCUUAAAGAGGGAGAAUAACUACUAUUAAAUUCCAAGAUGGGAUAUAAACAUAUUU